GGGGCCAGAUCGGAGCCAGCAUCCUCUAGGGGGAAAGGCCCCAUAUCCCCCAAAUCCAGUCUGUCCCCCGCCCUGGGUCUGGAUCACCUCUGUGUGUCCUGGUCCCUGUCCCCAAGCCAGGCAGUGCCCCCGCCCCGCCCUUGGGCAGGGCAUGGGGCUGCAGGUGGAGUGUUGGGAGAGCAGUGGGCUUUGGGCUGCCCUGCCCGUCUGUUGAGGCCCACGCCAGGCAGGGACCGCUCCCGUCUCUGGUGCUCACGGCCCCUCUGCCUUUCAGCUCGUGGCGUGGGAAGAGCAGCAGCUGGACCAGCCUGUGAACUUCAACAACAGCAAGAUCGACCCUGCUCCCUUCCAGCUGGUGGAGCGCACCUCCCUGCACAAGACUCACACCAUCUUCUCGCUCCUGGGCGUGGACCACGCGUAUGUGACCAGUAUUGGGCGCCUCGUUGGCAUGGUGUCCCUCAAAGAGCUGCGCAAGGCCAUCGAGGGGUCGGUCACUGCCAAGGGCGUGAAGGUCCGCCCGCCCCUGGCCAGCUUCCGGGACAGCACCGCCAGCAGCAGCGAGACGGAGACCACGGACAUCCACCAGCUGUGGGACCGGCGCCAGCGCCUCUCCAUCCCCCGCGAGUCCAGCCCCUCUGAGACGGACGACAAGUGCCAGUGAGGGGUGGGGCCGGCGGGUAGAGCCCGCCCCAGCUGCUGACGGACAUGACAGACACUGCCAGCCCCAGUGGCGGUGGCGCCGGUGCCACUGCCCCUUUGUGCCUGCAGCCCUGACACCCUGCACGGCCGGACUCGCCGCCUGCCACCAGGGGAGGAGCCAGAGCCCCAGCAAGCCACUGCCAUCAGCCCUGCCCGGCAGCCCGUGUGGUGAAGAGGAAGGGUCCAAGUCCAGCCCCUGGCCUCCGCCUGCGAGGUUCUCUGGGCCGCUGGCGCAGGGCUCCUGGGGGCAGAAUGCAAAUAUCCAGAUUCCUGCAGCACCACCCCCAGCUGCCAGGGGCCACUGGUUCCCCAACCAGCACUGAGUUCGAAUCCCCCUGCCCCCCAAUUCUGCAAAUGCCUCAGCCCCGGGCCCUCCAGCCCCAGCUCCGCCAGUGCCCCUGAAUCCCGCCCCACAGCCCGCCCCCUUGGCUCGACCUGCCGGUGCUCCUCAGGCCUGAGCCGCAGGCCCCCCC
This 1172-nucleotide long non-coding RNA is filed under the name Chrysemys picta bellii (western painted turtle). RNAcentral describes it as "lncRNA (ENSCPBG00000015543.1)". Lineage: Eukaryota; Metazoa; Chordata; Testudines; Emydidae. The record is from RNAcentral.